GGAGAGGAGAGCCACUGUCACUGUUGCCACUGCUACUGAAACACACCACCCACUGCCUCACUGUGCUAACAUCCAUUUGUUGGUCUCUAGAAACACUCAGCGAGCAUCAGUCUUCCAGUAACAAAUGUUCACUCAAAACAAAGAUGGAGAGGAACUUUACAAAGGCAUGUAGUGAUAGGACAAGAGAUAAAAGCUUUAAUCUAAAACAGGGUAGAUUUAGAUUUGGUGUCAGCAAGAAAUUCUUCACAAUAAGGGUUCUGAGGUACUGGAUCAGAUUGACCAGAGAGGCUGUGGACAUCCCAUCUUUGGAGGCUCAGGCCUACAUUGUGUGGGCCUCUGGACAGCCUGAUCCUAGUGGGAAGUGUCCCUGCCCAUAGCACAAGUUUUGAAACUAGUUCAUCUUGAAGGCCCUACAAAAACCAUUCUGUGAUAUCAGAUGCAUGGAAAUGAAGUAUGGUUGCUUGGUAAUGAGGGUACUUGAUUUAAUGUGUGGGGCUUGAUUUCAGCUAAAAUAUACUGGCAUUGUCAACGUCCAGACUCUCCUAAUUUAAUGUUCACACUCUGGGUAGGCUGUAAGAAUAUCUUCACUGAGUUGAUGUUAAAGUCAAAAUAAGUCAUUCACCAUGGGACUAUAUACAGAGCAUCCGUAGAUGAACACAUACGGAUAUAAAGCUAUUAGAGAAGGAAGGCUAUGGACAUUGAGAAAUGUCUGGAGGGCAAGAUGAGGAGCAACUGAGGUCUCUGUGUGUUCUCUGCCCCGAGCUGAGCAGGCUGGGGGAAGGCCUCAUGGCAGCUGCAGCUCAUCAUAGGAAAUUCAGCUCUGUGUUGACAGUGACAGGACCUGAGGGAAUGGCAUGGAGCUGUAUCAGGGAAGGGUCAGGUUGUGGAAUCUCCUUCUCUGGAAAUUAUUAGAGAUCUUUCCUGUGCAACCUUCUCUAGGAAAUCUGCUUUAUCAGUAUUUGGUCUAGGUGAUUUCCAGAGAUUCCUUCCAAUCCCUACAUCAUUUUGUGAUUAGAAAAAUGUUAUUCACUAAGAAGGUGGUCAAGCGCUGGCGCAGGCUCCCCAGAAUAGUGAUCACAGACCCAAGUUGCCAGGGCUCAGGAAGUGUUUUGACAAUGCCAUCAGACACAUGGUUUGAAUUUUGGGUGAUCCUGAGUGGAGGCAGACUCUAGUUGAUCCUCGUGAGUCCCUUCUAGCUCACAAUAUUAUAUGAUUUUAUGAAAAUUGCUGAAUAUAGAAAGGGACAUCCAUCCAUAAUAAUUCAUAUAAGUGAUUAGUAACUCAGUUAAAGCCUUAAAUCCAUAUAUUUUCAACAAAUCAAAGAUAUCUCUAUAAUAAAAAGGUCUGUGUGCUGUUUAUAGAGUCUUUAAUAAGUUGAUCAACUGUAUACUUGUUCCUAAUCUAUCGCAGGUAAAUUCUCUUAACUUGUCAUGUUUUGUGGGGUUUGUGUUCGUUGCUGCAUUUUCUUGCUUUCUUCAUGAAUUAGAGCCUGUUCACCCUUAGCAAUCCUCUUCACUGGCCUGUAAGCUUGCUAGACUCAAACUUGUGGAGCACUAUUUUAUUGCAAGACAUUUUAAUCUCCUUGAGUCACUUAGUUGCAUAAGUCAUUAUGAUGUGCUUAGAAGCUUCAAGGUAAGGUAUUUUUACUGUCCAGUUUGUCUUGUGCAACAAACAUUAUGUUAUACAACUGAGAUAGCUAAGGACAUUAAGCUAUGCAGUUUGUUCUCAAAACAGCUGUAGCCUACAUGUUGUCUUCAUACUUUGGAAAACACUGCAUUUACUAAUUCUUGAAAUGACAUAUGAAUAUUGAAAAGGCUGACCAUAGAUGGGACUCAGCAGUGAAGACUGUACUUACAGUUUUGCUAGAUACCUUCUGUGAGAAACUACUGAGAUCUUCUGAUUGUACAAAUACCACUCUUAUGACAGCUGUUGUGUAGCACAUCUCAGACCCCAAUUCUAUUUGAUUCACACAGGAUGUUUUAGUACUACACUAACUUGUUGGCAAUCUUUCUUUCCCACUCCCAUCAGCCAUAUUACUAACCUUUGGUGUGGUGGAGUCAGGAGAAAACAGCAUGUUCUUGAGGCUUGUCUACCUCAUUCUUAAAGUGUUCAUAAGCUACUGGUGGAUGUUGGACUCCACUACUCUAGUGGCAAUCAUUAUAGCUAAAGUGCAGAUAUGGCACUGCUUUUGAGCCAAAGCUGUGAAGUGGUGAAUUCUACCACGGAGCUCUGUCAAUUUGUAGGGAUGUGGAACAGGCUUUUGCAUUGGUCUUGCAACGAUGUGGAAGAGGAGCUUGUUGUUAGGGCUGGUUAGGCAUCUGGCCAUAUGCUGAUGGGCUUAAAUAAGUUCCCAGCUGAGGAGGUAUAGCAUGGAACUGAAUGUGUAUGUUUUAAAAAAUGAGUGAAUGUGUGUUUCAAUAGCAAAUAGUAAAAAGUAUUGCUUUAAGAGAACACUAAAGAGUGUUGCCUGAAAAAGAGAAACUGAAAAAAGAAAAAAGAUACUGUCACUGCCCAUUUCACAAAGUCACCCUGCUCUUUUGUUGAACUGGAAAUAAAAUCUGAUGAAGAAACUGUACAUUGUGGUGGCUGGGACACUCCAUUGUUGUGGCUGGCAGAAGACGGAACAGCCUGUGUUUGUAAUGUCUUUAACUGCUGCAGCAGUGUACUGCAAUACCUAUGAGUCAGAACCCUAAUCUCUUUCCAAGCACUCUUUAACCCCCAGAUAGAAUGCGGGAGAGUGUUAUCACAUUCAAAACAUGAUGAACUUAUUGUCCUGUUUCGUUUAUAAGAAGACUUCAAGGCUUCUGCUAGUCUGAAAACUCCUAUCUCAAAGGAAGCUUUAUGCUUUGUUCCUGAAACAGAGUCAUCCAAACUAUAUUUUAAUGAGGGAAAAAAAAAAUCUUUUUAAGCUUUAUUUAUUUAUUUAUGUGUUUGUUCUUUCACGUGUGAAUGAAGGAACAGAACUAGAUACUCAUAUUGAGUAGCCUGAAAAUAGCUCAUUCCUGAUAAAGAUAAUCAGGAUUUAAGUUCUGGUGACAAUCCAGUUACCUAUAGUUUUCAAAUACUCUGUUAAAAACUAUCAAGAAACAGAAAGGAUUUUCUUUCUUUCACUUUCCAUACUCUGUAUAAAACUGUUGCAGUUACUCAGCUCUUAUGAAUUUCUGGUAAUUCUACCACUUCCUAAAAUUACCUAGAGUUUCUCUGUCAAAUGGGUUUAAUGAGGACUUUUUUGCUCUAAAAUAUACACAGAAUGAUCUCUUAAGAGCAAUGACAUAGAUCUGCAAAUGGGAGGCCAUUCCCAAAAUUAGGGAAAGAUUCAGUUGUUCUUUGUUAUCUGAGACAGUUAUUGAUGCCAUAAAGACUUUCAAAGGACAUGAAAACACUUGAAAACUAUUACUGCAAGAUAUUACAAAGAAGGAGGCCACAAAAUCUUGACAUGCUAAUACUUAGGAAAAAUUAGUUAAGUAUAAAACCUCAUGUUUUGGUUGUUCAAGUUACAACGUGAAAGUAUCAAUGAAAAUAGACCAUCAAGGAGCAGUGGAGUUGUACUGGAGAAGUGUCUGCCAAACAGAACUAAAUCUAGGGGACUUGCUAAUUCCAGUUAAUAUAAAAUAGUCAUCUGUAUUACUUACUGGCCUUUUGUUUUACAUCCUAUUUAGCAAAAUAAAUGGAUUUUUGUGGGAAUAUCAGGGAUGUGUUCCUGUCCCACAGUAUUGCCACCAUUUACUCUGAUAAACGCUCAUGAUAACAUUAAGGACUGUGGCUGUGCACCUUUUGCCUCUGUUGCCAUCAGCCUUUUCACAGGGCUUGACACUGUGAACAAAUUAUCACACAUUAUUGCACACAGAUGCAACUCAUAUUUUAUGAAAAGUAUGGAUGCUGUAUGCAUGCUGAAGUUUCAGUUCAUGUAUGCUAGCAGUAGUUAACGCUACAUGCUGCAAUCUGUGGUAUGUAGACUGCCAUGCAGCACAGGUACAUAACUGUACUAAGCUUCAUGGUUAACUCAAUAAGAAGGAUUUAAAAAAAGCACAAAACACCACAUUUUGCUUUGAGUUUCUGAAACUCCGUUUAGACUGGAUCCUCUAUGAACCAUUAGCAAGGAAGAAGACAAGUUUAUGAGUGGGUAGAUAGAAGUGGUCUGAGCAAGAGUGGGCAAAUAACUGUCCCCUCUGUAACAAAAAAAGAUCACAUUUUAAAGACAAGUGGAAACUAGUAUUAGCUGUUGUUUAAAAGAGCCCCUGGAACAAGAAAACUAAAGCAGCACCAUUUACAAGAAAAUAUGCUAAUACAGCCUACUCUUAAGGGAAUAACAAGAAAAUAAAGAAGUCUAGUGACAGUGUAAUUGAGAUGUAGUUACAUAAAGCCUGAAACAGACAUAAAAGACUGGAAAUUUCUAGAAAUCUCUUGCAAAGCAAUCAUUAUCCUGCAUGACAGUAAACAUUUUGUUUGUUCUUAAAAAGAUUAAUAAACAAAAAUCACAGAAGUGGUGCAUUAUUGUUAAUUAAUAAAUUAGGAUUUGUAAUCAUAACUCCCUCCUUCUGUUUGAUUGUUGGUGAUAAACGUUCUUGCAAGGGGAAAAAAUGGAUGUAAUCUGUGAUUACAGGUAUCUCUAUCCUCUCCAUCUUCUUCCUGCAUUCAGCUACACUGCUGUUUCCAGCUACUUUCCUAUACAAAGCAUGCUGCUUAGAAAGGACUGAGCUUGCUGCCUUUUCUGUUUAUGUGGGAGAUAGCCAGUAGUAAAAAUGGACUCAGUGCCUUGUUGCUAAUGCUUGUUUCUGCCACCACCUUACAUCCCUCAACUUUUUCCUCAGCUGCCACGGUUAUGCAAGUAGAAGAUAAAAUCAACUGACUGUUCAGGUUGCAGAGGACACUAAGGAAGCUGACUGCUGUCUUCUCAGCACAGGCAAAGCAGCUGUUCUCGAAUAUAAAGAUGAACCUGAGACCUGACACUGACUUCUCUGUUCCUAGUUAGUUAUGAAAAUCUGUCUGGGAGAAGAAUGGAGAUCUGCAUUUUCAAGGGAAGAACAAAGGAGAGUGAAGAUUGGAGACAGUACAAGAGCAGUUGUUGUGGAUGGCCUUGGAUUUCAGUCAUACUGGUCCCUGAUUCCAAAAGAGAGAAGAGUGGAAGAAGGGGAGUUCCAUUUCCUAAAACUGAGAAGCAUCUGCUGGAGUUAUUAAGAGUUUUUUGACCAAGUUCAACAGCAAGUCACCUUAUGGCUGAUGGAUUCUUCCCUAAGCAAUUCAAAACAAUACAGUUAGAACAAAUUUCUCCUUUCUAAAGAAGCAAUAUUACGAGGCAAAAGCUAUUUUUAUAAGUGGGAUAACUUUGCCACCGCUCCCCAGUGGUAAUAACUGUUAAGCUAGUUUUAGCUGCCUGGCUAACCAAGGCUUUUAUAGCCCCACUUACAUUAUUUAAAAUACUUUCACAAGUGAUCCAUUCAUAGAUAGAGAAAUCUUUCAAAUGACUCAUUUCACCUGAAAAACACAAAGGCUUAGAAACACAAUUUCUUAAGAAGCUUCAAAGCUGACCAAACUGAGAUGUCCCCAUUUUCAGUGAUUGUUUAAGGUUUUCCUCCUGCAGAGCGAUUUAAAUCGAGGUAGCAAACUGUAUAGAUGAAAACAAGCAGACUUUCAUCUUAUUUCCAAUGUUUAUGACAGACUGGGCGGCGCUUGGAGGAAGAUGCAUGUAAAAACAGACCGUAGGGUAAAAUACUGGCAAGUCUUCAAGUGCCAUAAAUUGGGCAUGCGUCAUGCUGAAGGGCCUCCUUAGCAGAGAAAAACAAUCCUUGUAGAUGCUUAUCUCAGAGAUGUUGCAUGAAACGGCUAAGGAUUUUGAGAGAAGUGAUUCAGGUGAUGGACUUGUUACGCUUUCUCUACAGAUUGGCCUGUACCAUUGAAAAUUAAAGAAAAUGUGAUGACAUCUUUUUCAAUAGGGAAAAUAUGCUCUUUGGAUUGGGUUAAUUAAAUCACAUUAGUUAAAUUUAGCUGAGACUCAGCCAUUUCUUCUGUCUAGAAGCUCUUCAUCACUCCUGGGGCAAAUUUCCAAAGCCCUCAGAUUCACAAGAUGUUGUUCUUGCAAUGUUGAGAAGUGAACGUUUACUUAAUGUACUGCUCAAUUCUUUUUACUCUGUGAACUUUCCUGCUAAAAAAUACAGCCAAUUUACAACGUCUCUGAUUUUGAUGAAUUUUAACUCUGUAUACUAUACCUUUUCUAUAUGCUGAAGAAAUAUAUUGUUCACUUUUUCAAAUGUUCAGCCACAACAUAAUUUUGUACUGUGGUGAAGUUUUGCUCAGAUUCAGAUAAUUAUGAUGUUAACUAGUUUUUUCUCCUUUCCCUUCAAUUUCUGUAAAAAAAAACUUGAUGUUGCCCUUGUUUUGCAUGUUGACAGUAAGAUCAGAAUAGCUAUCUCUUCACAAGGAAGCAUUUAGGCACUAAGAAAUUAAUUGUAAUCAUGUAAUCCACAAGAAUUGUAGAACUGAGGUUGAUGGGCUCUUCUGACAGGGUCAGCUACAUCAGGUUGCUCAGGGCUGAGUCUGACUAGGUUUGAAUGUUUCUGAGGAUGGAGGCAACACACCACCUCUGAGCAACCUGUUGCAGUGUUUGAACAGCCUCUGAAUAGAAAAGAAAAAAAAGAAAAGAAUCACAUGGUUAACUUAAAUGGCUUGUGUUUCAGCAUAUGCUCACUGCCUCUACCACCUUCACUGGAUAUUAUUAAGAGUCUGACUCCAUCUUCUUUAUUCUCUCCUAUAGGUGAUGUAUGCACUUUUAUAAUAUCACCUUGGGCCAUCUCUUUUCCAUGCUAGACAGGCCAGCUUUUCUUCUAUGUGAGAUCUCCAGUACCUUCCCUGUCUUUGUGUCUUGUGCUGAACUUGCUCCAGGAUACUGAGGUCUCUGAUAAAAUAAGGCUACUGUUGUUUCCCAGAGUGAAUGGAGAUAGCUCUUCAAUAUGAAAAACUAUGAUGCUUCCCAACUGGCUUAAGACUGUCAGUAUUCUGGGCAUCUUAGACCCAGCCUCAGUAUCCAGACGUGCCUCACCGGUGAUAAGCAAAGAGGAAGUAUUUUGCUCCUUGGCCUGUUGGCAAUGCUCUUCCUGAUGCACUGCCAAUGUGCCUGCAACCCAGGAUAUUGCCUGACUUGUCCUACUUUGCCUCAAGGACAUGUAUCUUGGUAUCUGUUCAUACCCAGCUGCAGCUGUUGGCAGGUCUGAGCACACUGCUGCUCUGGUCCUGAGCCCACUCAUAGGUUCUUUGAUAAGUGAUGUUAUGCCUACAACUCUGGAUGGAUAUAAUGCUGUGGCUGUGCUUCUGCUUCUGAAAGCACAAUGCUGCUACUGAAUUAUCCCAGAAGAGAUUGGCUGUCAAUAUUUUCAUUCUUAAGUAUGGCCGGUGGACAAUCUUUUUUGUUUUUCUUUUUACUAUUUGCAACAGCACUUGCCCAGCAAAGAAGAAACUGGGCUUCUUGUUUUUUUGGCAGUUCCAGAAAGCUCAAAAUCACAGCUUCCAGAAAAAAACAAUUUCGAAUUAACUUCUUUUAUUUCCAGGCCAGUGCAUGCAUGCUGUAGAACAGGCCUGGCAUGGUAGUACUUUUAAUAGCUCAGCUAAGCUGGAUGCUGUUUGCAGGCCUGCAGCAACAAGCUGCCUUUCCAGUGGUGUUCAGAUACAUUGGCAACUGCCACUUUAUAAGCAGACAGAGAAUCACCCAAGCCCUUGAGCCCUCCAGUUGCCCAGAGUUACUGAUGCUUUGCAGGUUCUAAUAAAGACGAAGGGUUACACUAAGCCUGGUGUGGCCAACCACAAAUCUAGUGACUUCAAAAGGUUUCUUCCCAUUGUCACCUCCACUGAAUUUAUUUUAGUCUCAGUGAAAUAAUUCUUAUUGAGUACAAAUUGCUUAGAGAGAAGCUAGUGGGCAGAACUUAACUGGACAAGUUAAACCUGUCAAAUCUAUGAUAAGUGAACUAAAGGCAAUCUAUCUAAUUUACUUUUUUUUAUUAAGAUUGUGGAAGUUGGAAUAGCUGCACACAGUAAAAUCUUUUUAUUUAUUUAUCUUUUUUUAUUCAUUAGAAACUGCAGAUCCUGUUCAGGAAAGUAUGAUGAGGACAUAUUAGAAAAAUGAAUUUCAAGCAACUUACCUGUAUUUAUUGCAAAAGCAAUUUGUCUUACUACACGGAGAGAGAAAAGAGUAUAAAAGCCCUGUCUGUUUCUCACUUUACUCUCACGAGACUGUGGAUGCAUUUAACCAGAGAGGGGAUACAACCAGAGAGAUGACUCAGACUAACCAAAGAGCUAUUCUGUAUGAUGGAGCAUCAUGCUCAGCAAUAAAAUGGAGGGAACAGAGCUUAGGGUGACUUGUCAUUACUUUCUACCUCCUGCAUUUCAAAAUGUGGUACGUAGGAUCAGAUGUGGCUCUGACAGUGUGACAAGUGCCUUUGCCACUAUUACUUCAGUGUUUUCACCCCCCACAAGGUGACAUAUUCUGAUAUAUGAACUCUGCAAUGAAUGCUAGAUUUUCCUAUCAGCACACGUUUGAGAGUGUUUUGUACUGCUGCUUGGAGUAUUACAACAUUUCAUGCAGAAAGUAAGUUUAUCAUAUCCACAAUGAUAAAGGAAAGCAUAAAUGCAUGCUGAAUAUUAUUAUUAAUAGUUACAGUAGUACAUAAUGCAUUGUUUGUUAUUUGGUUGGUUAUUCCCAAAAUAAGGACUACAGUAGAGACAACAAAUUAAAGUUCAAACUGUGUGAAGAUAGCAGUCUAAGGACACUGCCACUACCAAUAAAGAACUAAUUAAACACAAAUAUUUGUGAUAAACAGGGGAUGAAUAUUUUUUUUACCCCUCAUGCAUUUUAUUCUAUUUCCAUUCCAGCUUCAUUUUUUUACCACCUGGAUUAGUUCUGGCAUCAUUGUAUCACAUUUUUUCUAUGUCAUUGUGUCAAUUCAUUGAUAUGAUCUGAUUUGAUCUACCCUACAUAAGGAACUAUCUUGGCUAUCACAGUAAACGGGCUCUGCAGAAUCACUCAAAAUGCUUUGUCAUUGGCUCUGUCUGCCUCUUGGAGCACAACCUGGCAGAACAAUCUUCUGUGUGCUCUAUUUGUUCCCAUCAUUCUCUCCUCCAUCAACAGUUGCUACAGAACUAUGAGAACAAUUUUUGUUUGUUUGUUUAAAUCAGUACUGGAAGACUGACAUGGGGAAGAGUUUCCAUGCACAGAACACCAAAGCAAUGGCUCUGGCAAAGCACACUCAUACACUUCUUGUCAGCUGCUUUGAAAGUCUGCAUGUGUGCUGGAAAUGAGCAAGAAACGCUUCCGCCUUCUCAGAUAAAUCAUAAUAACUAUGUAGUAGCUUCUUUUAUGGUAGCUGAGUUACUACUUUUAAGUACAUUUUGUCUUAAUGUAGUACUGAAAGCAGUAUUGGAAGCUCUAAGAGCUACUGAAAUUGAUCUGAGUUAUUUUCUUCAGCCUAAGAAGAACUCACAGCUGGAAAUUAAAAGCUGUGAAAAAGUGACACUGUUUCAUCACUGAAAUGCAUAGAUAUAAUUGCAAUUAUAUUUGCGGGCUAAACCAAAAGUUUUGAUUGUAUUGAUUGAAUGCUGUGGUACAAGUGGAGCAGGCCAAACUAGAAGCUGGCUGUAACUUCCCAUUAAAGAGAGACAAAGAAUAUCUGUCCAUUAACUGACCCAAGUUUCAUUAUAAAAGGAAACAAACACUUGGGUGAUAACUACUGCAUCUUUUUACAAGACAAGCUGACUCAUAUGAAUUACUCAUGUGUGGUUCAGCUGAAAUUAAUUAUGCAAUGUGAUUUUCAUUGCUAAGAUCUUCUAUGAAGCCUUAAAAUAAAAAUAUAUAUGA
Molecule: long non-coding RNA, 9841 nt
Organism: Centrocercus urophasianus (Greater sage-grouse)
Lineage: Eukaryota; Metazoa; Chordata; Aves; Galliformes; Phasianidae
Exons: 5
Source: RefSeq, a predicted model, not a curated record